Non-coding RNA from Cajanus cajan (pigeon pea), 1025 nucleotides. The record is from RefSeq and is a predicted model, not a curated record. Lineage: Eukaryota; Viridiplantae; Streptophyta; Magnoliopsida; Fabales; Fabaceae.
AUGAUUUGCAAACAAUUUCUUUACAAAGUAAAAAAUCAAGAGCAAAGCACAGUCUCUAGACUCUUAUUGUUAAUCCAACUCCAUUCACUUUUCCUUUCGUUUGAUAACUUAACGUAUAUUGGUCCUAAUUUUCCUCGUUAGGUUUCCUCUUUUGAUACCUUUUGCCAUCUUCGAUCUAUUGUUGUUUUUCUAGUUAAAUUGAUCCUAGUUUUAAAUUGCUGUUUGCGAUAUGCGUGUUAUUAAAGUAAGAUUUCACUAAGAAGGAAGAUCUUUUGAUGAAUUGUUAGAUCUGUGUUUGUUGUUCUACGGUUUAUUCAGUUUUUGUUAAUUUUUGCUGAAAAUUGAUUGUAAAUCUAGGUUAGUUUCUUUGAGAACCAAUGGAGGGAUUGCGAUCUCCAACAAGACUCAGGAGAUUGAAGAGUGGUGAGAUGAAAGAUAGGCCUUGAAUUUAAUUAAAUCCUCCAAACGAUGGACAAAAAGAUAAGAUUCUCUCCUAAGAGGAGGCAGGCUAGGGUGGACAACCCUUUCAAUGUUUUGCGAUUUGUAUGAAAAUUUUAUGCAAGAUAUGAGUACUUUCUAUUUCUCCUAUAUUUAAUUAAAUUUUAUGCAAGAUAUGAGUACUUUUUUUUAGUGAAUAUGAGUUCUUUCUAUUCCUUCUAUUUAAUAAAAUUUGCCCUUUCUGAUUAUAAAAGAAUAUAUGUACGGAUAUCUGAAAGAUCUUUUUUUUUUUCCCUUGCAGACACUUCGAUCAGGUGACUGGCACCGUAAGUGUAGUCCUUGCAAAUUUUGUGGGUUGCAUGAUGGAAAGCAAAAGGACAGCUCUGAAGUCCUGUCUCAAGUCCAUUGGAGCCAAUACUGCUCAUUCUUAACAGGAUUCUUAUAUAUGUGGAAACAAUUGUAAAAGAGAAAUGAUGAGAUUAUCAGCGUUGCAUCUAUCAGAAUAGAAUUGAUUUCAAGUGUCAAGUGCUUCCAAGUGUCUGGAUUGACUUAUACUAUCAGUGAAUUUGGAUCACUAAAACGCCGAG